Molecule: ribosomal RNA, 468 nt
Filed under: uncultured bacterium
Lineage: Bacteria
Description: partial 16S ribosomal RNA
Rfam family: Bacterial small subunit ribosomal RNA
Source: RNAcentral
GACGAACGCUGGCGGCGUGCUUAACACAUGCAAGUCGAACGGAAAGGCCCUGCUUUUGUGGGGUGCUCGAGUGGCGAACGGGUGAGUAACACGUGAGUAACCUGCCCUUGACUUUGGGAUAACUUCAGGAAACUGGGGCUAAUACCGUAUAGGAGCUCCUGCUGCUUGGUGGUGGUUGGAAAGUUUCGGCGGUUGGGGAUGGACUCGCGGCUUAUCAGCUUGUUGGUGGGGUAGUGGCUUACCAAGGCUUUGACGGGUAGCCGGCCUGAGAGGGUGACCGGCAACAAUGGGACUGAGAUACGGACCAGACUACUACGGGAGGCAGCAGUGGGGAAUAUUGCACAAGGGGCGGAAGCAUGAUGAAGCAAAGCAGCGGGCGGGAUGACGGCCUUCGGGUUGUAAACCGCUUUCGCCUGUGACGAAGCGUGAGUGACGGUAAUGGGUAAAGAAGCACCGGCUAACUACGUG